AUGCACGCUGGCGGCGUGCCUAAUCCCUGCCAGUCGCGCGAACAGACGAGGAGCUUGCUCCUCUGACGUUAGCGGCGGACGGGUGAGUAACACGUGGAUAACCUACCUAUAAGACUGGGAUAACUUUGGGAAACCGGAGCUAAUACCGGAUAAUAUAUUGAACCGCAUGGUUCAAUAGUGAAAGACGGUUUUGCUGUCACUUAUAGAUGGAUCCGCGCCGCAUUAGCUAGUUGGUAAGGUAACGGCUUACCAAGGCGACGAUGCGUAGCCGACCUGAGAGGGUGAUCGGCCACACUGGAACUGAGACACGGUCCAGACUCCUACGGGAGGCAGCAGUAGGGAAUCUUCCGCAAUGGGCGAAAGCCUGACGGAGCAACGCCGCGUGAGUGAUGAAGGUCUUCGGAUCGUAAAACUCUGUUAUUAGGGAAGAACAAAUGUGUAAGUAACUAUGCACGUCUUGACGGUACCUAAUCAGAAAGCCACGGCUAACUACGUG
This 496-nucleotide ribosomal RNA is filed under the name uncultured bacterium. RNAcentral's name for it is "partial 16S ribosomal RNA". It matches the Rfam family "Bacterial small subunit ribosomal RNA", at positions 29 to 507 of the family's 1533-position model. The record is from RNAcentral.